UUUAAGCAUUUAUUUCGCUAGAUGCGAGGCUAACUCUUCUCUCUUUCUCUCUCUAUCUUUCUAUAUAUACUAAAAUAUAUCCUAUUUUCGAAAGCCCCUCUAAAUAUGAACCACUUGAAACAUUUUUUUACAUUUUUUACGCUUUAAAAUUCGCUUUUUUCUCCGAUCGCCGUGUUUCUGGUAUCGUUCGAUGGCACUUGCGGUCCUGCGUCUUUUUCCGACCUCCGCUCGAAUUUUUCGCCGCUUCCGUUUUUUGCGAUCCGCGAUUUUCGAAAUUCCGUGGAACUUAAAACAACGCGAAAUAGGGGACGCGUCUCUUACUAGGGCGCUUGAGUUCCCGCCUUUUUGUCGUUAUCACCGCUUUUUGUUCGUCGUCCGCCGUUUUUACAUUGUUUUUGCGGGUAAUGCGCGUAUUUAUUAUUAGAAAAAACGAAACGCGUCGGUUUUCGUUUUGCCGUUUUAUUGCGAUCGCAACCGACCAAGUUAAAUAAUAACUGUCAAUAUUUUAACGAUGACAGAGGUGUUUUUUCCAUUGGAUUUUGUCAUUUUCAGACCACCUGUCGUGUGCCCGAGGACCGAUUUAUAUCGUUGGUAACAAACGCGUUUGUGGUCCCGUCGUAAUAGUUUUCUUGACGGUUGUCGUACAACUGUAACGACUGCAUUAAUUGUUUAAGGUGAUUUGUAAAUUUUGUAGUUCUACUGCUAUAUUGCCAUUUUUAAUAAUUGAAACGUGUGUGAUUGGCGGUGUUUGUUUUGUCCGGACGACUGAUCGAACGGCAGCUCGACCCAAUGUUGGCCAAGAGUACAGGCCCAUUUCAAUAAUGGAUUUAUUAAAUAGACUCUAUACCUGUUGUGCUAGGAUAACUGAUCUGGAGAUUAUUGGCAGUCAUCGCUAUUGGAUUUAUUAUUACAAGGAUAUUCAUUAAAAAAAAAUUAAUUGUCAUUUACUUUUCUUAAAUAUGUGCAACUGUUUUCCCCGGGUAACUGUGAUUGAAAAACUGCCAACCAACUAGAAGAGUGCUGCAUCUAAUUCAUAAUGGUUGUAUUACACAGGUCGGUUGAUAUUUUAUUUAUUGUUGAUUACAAUGUAAUAUGUACUGCAGCGGUCAAUACAAUCCAAACGUUUUUAAUUUUUUUUAGGCCUCUGGUAAAGCUACAAAAUUUUCAAUUCUGUCGUAUGCACGAUGUGUUGAUAGUGCUGUGGGUUUUUUUUUAGCCAGUGUUUGCCAUUCCUCCAAAAUGUUCCUCCUGUCAAACCUCAGUUCCUUAAGAUCAUGCCAUUCAACAACGUCAGAUGAUACUCUUCACAAUUACUAUGUGUAGUCUGCUCUCGGAGUUCAUCGAAAACUUUUAUUUCUUAUUUAAUUUCCAACGUAAUACUUUUACCUGUAUUAUUGUAUAGAUUUACGUUUUCGAACAAAAAUGUUUUAUGUGUGUGAUCGCGACAAUAAAGAAACAUGAUUUUUC
Long non-coding RNA from Daktulosphaira vitifoliae (grape phylloxera), 1467 nucleotides. RefSeq lists it as uncharacterized. Lineage: Eukaryota; Metazoa; Arthropoda; Insecta; Hemiptera; Phylloxeridae. The transcript is spliced from 7 exons. The record is from RefSeq and is a predicted model, not a curated record.